CAUGCCCCCUGCUCUAGAUGAGGAAGAAAGUGGAGAACUAUGGGCUGACCUACCCUUGGAAGUCUAUGAGGAUCCCGUGGAUCCACAAGUCUGAGUGCAUGACUGUUCUUGCACUCUGAUGAGUCUAAUAACAUAGUGAAAGAAGUGGCCCUUAUGUUUUGUUUUAUAUUUUGCAGUCACUUAUGGCAUCAAUAUAUGUAUGUAUUGGGACUCAUAUGUAUUUGUAAG
This 228-nucleotide long non-coding RNA is filed under the name Carica papaya (papaya). RNAcentral's name for it is "long non-coding RNA (CPAP_LNC010133)". The record is from RNAcentral. Lineage: Eukaryota; Viridiplantae; Streptophyta; Magnoliopsida; Brassicales; Caricaceae.